AGUCCAUGAUGUUGACAAAGUCUCAUCAUAUCCUUAUAACUUUCCCAUGCUUCGAAAAGUAACUCUCCAUUUUUCUGUUUGAAUUUGUUGAUUUGGCUUCUUAGCAU
This is a small nucleolar RNA of Lathyrus oleraceus (garden pea), 107 nucleotides long. NCBI's taxonomy places the organism in Eukaryota, Viridiplantae, Streptophyta, Magnoliopsida, Fabales, Fabaceae. The record is from RefSeq and is a predicted model, not a curated record.